CACACGACGUCAUUUCAACGUUGAUAUUUGGGCUAAAUCCCGUCGGUCCGUCAUGGCCCUGAUUUCAACCAAAAUUAGACGUAGAAUAAUGGUCUUGUUUUGGCCGGCCCAUUUUGGUCUAAGGAAAGACGUCUUUAGCACGUCCUUUUUCAGACCACAUAUCAACUAAUUAAAUCCUGAUGUAAAUUAUCAGUUAUAGUCUACCUAGGACUACAUUAUCGUUCCUGUCGACCAUCUUUCCCCCCUGGGGAUUGCCCAAAUCCGCCGCGAACUCUACGGGCGCCCGGCGCCGCCAUCUUGGCUGCCGUUAACUGCGUGUGUGACUUUUGUUUGUUUACUCAUGGCAACAGUUGAUAUGGACGGACAACUCUGUUUUUAGCCUUCUCCCCUCUGAAAAAAAAAUCAGAGGAAAAAUUCAGAUGGAAAAAAAUCAGUCAUUGAAAUAAUGAGUAAUUAAAAUUCUGAUAAAAAAAAAAAAUCACAUAAAUGUUCACGUAAAGGAGACAGGAGUGAACUCUGCGCAUGUACAAGAGGAACGGAGGCGGGAAGCCGUAGCCGAGCCCAUUUCGAACUUUGUUUGAAACACACAGUCAGUUGAAGCCGUUGAAGAACAGCGUGAAGAUGGAACCUGCUACUGAGCACAUCAACUCUUAAGUGUGUCCCUGGAAGAUCUACCAUCAACUUCCAGAACUGCAACUGCUAGUACUGUCAGAUGGUGAAUGCUACUCAGGCAAACACCAUUGUUACACCACUUUGAAGGAGAGCCUGGUCAUUUGGUCCCCUCAGCUUCUCCCUUUCUCAGUGAUAUGUUCAUUGUGGCUGGGAUAAUUGUGGGGCACUCUUUCCUUCAUGGAGGACCCUGCUUGUCUGGACUCUGUGAUGUGGUUGUCCAUACUGCUUCGUGGGAGCCCAGACACGGCUACAGUAAACCUGGAGGACUGUGCAG
Molecule: long non-coding RNA, 946 nt
Organism: Sardina pilchardus (European sardine)
Lineage: Eukaryota; Metazoa; Chordata; Actinopteri; Clupeiformes; Clupeidae
Exons: 3
Source: RefSeq, a predicted model, not a curated record